This is a non-coding RNA of Pristis pectinata (smalltooth sawfish), 1912 nucleotides long. NCBI's taxonomy places the organism in Eukaryota, Metazoa, Chordata, Chondrichthyes, Rhinopristiformes, Pristidae. The record is from the annotation of a RefSeq genome assembly.
AUGUCUCACUGGAUCCGGGUUGUCAGUGCGUUGGUGCUUUGCGCAGUUUAUUCAAACGCGGAGGUCACAGUAAAUCAGCCGCCUUCGAAGUCCACCUCUCCGGGACAGAACGUCCAAAUCACCUGCACCAUGUCUGGCGCCACUUUAGGGAGUAGCAAUGUGUACUGGUACCAGUAGAUUCCCGGAAACACUCCCCGGAGUGUGGUAUACUAUUAUUCUGGGAGUAGCGUUUACAGAGGGCCGGGAAUUCCAGACCGUUUCUCCGGCUCAGUGUCAGGCAACACUGCGACAUUCACAAUAUCGAACGUCCAGUCGGAGGACGCUGCGGACUAUUACUGUGCCAUGUGGAAAAGCGGUUUAUUCUUCGGCAAAGGAACGAGGCUGGGAAUUGGCAAUCCCCGUGCACCCACUGUGUCUCUACUUCCACCUUCAGCGGCGGAGGUCACGGGAAAGGGAACUGCGACCCUGGUGUGUUUGGUGAACGGGUUUAAUCCGGGCGCUGUGGACAUUCAGUGGACUAUGGACGGCAGUGAGAGAAGGGAUGGUGUUGAGACCAGCCGGGUCCAGCAGGAGACGGACAACACAUUCAGUACGAGCAGUUACCUGACUCUGCCAGCCUCAGUCUGGAACUCACACGAACGUUACUCCUGUGUGGUUAAACACGAGACUCAGGCAAACCCGAUUAAGGCAAACAUCGCGAGAUCCAGCUCCCGACUGAUUGGUCCGCGGAAUAAGCUGAUGCAGGGUCAGAUAAUUGCAAUGGUCCCCAAAUUCAUUCGGAAGUGCAUUCCAGCAGGGAUGCAUGUAAGUGAGCCGGAGAGAAAGUCCAGAAGCCACUUCAGCUGGAAACUGUCGCCCUGUCGGAGCUCCAGUCAUUCAAUUGCAAUGUCUCACUGGAUCCGGGUUGUCAGUGCGUUGGUGCUUUGCGCAGUUUAUUCAAACGCGGAAAUCACAGUAAAUCAGCCCCCUUCGAAGUCCACCUCUCCGGGACAGAACGUCGAAAUCACCUGUACCAUGUCUGGCGCCAGUUUAGGGAGUAGCAAUGUGUACUGGUACCAGCAGAUUCCCGGAAACACUCCCCGAUCUGUAGUGUACUAUUGGUCGGGCAGUAGCGUUUACAGAGGCCCGGGAAUUCCAGACCGUUUCUCCGGAUCAGUGUCAGGCAACACUGCGACAUUCACAAUAUCGAACGUCCAAACGGAGGACGCUGCGGACUAUUACUGUGCCAUGUGGAGCAGCGGUUUAUUCUUCGGCAAAGGAACGAGGCUGGGCAUUGGCAAUCCCCGUGCACCCACUGUGUAUCUACUCCCACCUUCAUCGGCGGAGAUCACGGGAAAGGGAACAGCGACCCUGGUGUGUUUGGUGAAUAGGUUUAAUCCGGGUGCUGUGGACAUUGAGUGGACUGUGGACGGCAGUGCGAGAAAGAAUGGCGUUGAAACCAGCCCGAUCCAGCAGGACACUGACAACACGUUCAGUACAAGCAGUUACCUGACGCUGCCAGACGCAGACUGGAACUCACACGAGCUUUACUCCUGUGUGGUUAAACAUGAGACUCAGGCAAACCCGAUUAAGGCAAACAUCGCGAGAUCCGGAUGCAUCUGAUGUCUGAUGCUUGUGAGCUGAGCUGACGUUUGUUUAUCACUUGUCCAUCCUUUUCUGUGGCAAGGGGGUAGAAAUAUGUUAGAUUUCGAAGUUUAAAUAAAUAAAUAGCCUCUGAAUUUGAAACAAGGAUUUUAUGACCUGUUCACUUUAAAUGCAGUUGACAGAUUAUCGCUGUUGAUUUUAGCCUCAAGAUGAAAUAAUCGUCCUUUUGUGCAUUCAAUACCGUUAGCCAAAGGCGCGGAUAUUGCUAUUGUACCCGAGGUAUUGUUUGUAGCCAUUGAAUAAAAUUAAUGAACUGAUUUCAAAUGCA